GCACCCCUGGGUCUGAGCAGUUACCAGCCAGUCCCUGAGAACUUUCCUCUCCAGCACCAGGGAAAAUGGGAUUUUUCCUCCUUGUAAUUUUCGUUGUAGCCGCUUUGGAAGGUGUCCGGUCCCAGGCGCUGGUGGAGUCCGGAGGGGAUGUGAAAAAGCCCGGAGACUCUCUCCGCCUCUCCUGCAAAGCCUCCGGCUUCACCUUCAGCAGCUACUACAUGAACUGGGUCCGCCAGGCUCCUGGCAAAGGACUAGAAUGGGUCGCUAUUAUAUACCCCGGUGGGAGUAGUACAUACUACCUUGAUUCAGUGAAAGGCCGAUUCACCAUCUCCAGGGAUAAUCCCAAGAGUGAGCUGUAUCUGCAAAUGACCGGCCUGAAGCCCGAGGACACCGCCCGCUAUUACUGUGCGGGAGACACAGUGACACAAAACCGCUUUGUGAUCAGACAAAAACCCAGGCUGCGGAAUCGCCCUUCUCCCGGCAGCCGCGCGGGGGCAGCAACCUUGCGCGUUGACGCCCCCGGGCCCAUCUCGGUGUCAGACUCACAGGACAGCGUCUGUCAGUAUAAAGGGGACAAGCGCAUUGGGGUUCGCAUCAGACCCAACGGAUGGAGCGAAUUGCUCAUGGGGCCAAAUCCUCCGCUGGUGUAA
Non-coding RNA from Gopherus flavomarginatus (Mexican gopher tortoise), 650 nucleotides. NCBI's taxonomy places the organism in Eukaryota, Metazoa, Chordata, Testudines, Testudinidae. The record is from the annotation of a RefSeq genome assembly.